GAUGAACGCUGGCGGCGUGCCUAAUACAUGCAAGUCGAGCGAACGGACGAGAAGCUUGCUUCUCUGAUGUUAGCGGCGGACGGGUGAGUAACACGUGGAUAACCUACCUAUAAGACUGGGAUAACUUCGGGAAACCGGAGCUAAUACCGGAUAAUAUUUUGAACCGCAUGGUUCAAAAGUGAAAGACGGUCUUGCUGUCACUUAUAGAUGGAUCCGCGCUGCAUUAGCUAGUUGGUAAGGUAACGGCUUACCAAGGCAAGGAUGCAUAGCCGACCUGAGAGGGUGAUCGGCCACACUGGAACUGAGACACGGUCCAGACUCCUACGGGAGGCAGCAGUAGGGAAUCUUCCGCAAUGGGCGAAAGCCUGACGGAGCAACGCCGCGUGAGUGAUGAAGGUCUUCGGAUCGUAAAACUCUGUUAUUAGGGAAGAACAUAUGUGUAAGUAACUGUGCACAUCUUGACGGUACCUAAUCAGAAAGCCAUGGCUAACUACGUG
RNAcentral lists this ribosomal RNA (497 nucleotides) under uncultured bacterium. RNAcentral's name for it is "partial 16S ribosomal RNA". It matches the Rfam family "Bacterial small subunit ribosomal RNA", at positions 28 to 507 of the family's 1533-position model. The record is from RNAcentral.